RNAcentral lists this long non-coding RNA (758 nucleotides) under Erythranthe guttata (spotted monkey flower). Its description in RNAcentral is "long non-coding RNA (EGUT_LNC003768)". Lineage: Eukaryota; Viridiplantae; Streptophyta; Magnoliopsida; Lamiales; Phrymaceae. The record is from RNAcentral.
GAAAGAGUGCUACGGAUUUUGCGAGCUACAAUCACUACAGCAGUUCUUUGAAUGUGACCACAUCCUCUGCAGCUUCUUCUUCCGCGCUUCUCGCCUAGUGAUUUAAUCAUUUAAUAUGUUAAAAAUGAAGGAUUUGCAAGAUGGGUUUUUUCUUUUUCAAUUUUUCGGAGAUUAAGAUUGUAUUGAAUGUAUUUAUUAUAUCACAAGCGUUCGAUCAGACAAGCGAUUCUUGUACUUACUGUUUGAAGCUAAGUUACGUUGCAUGUUCUCCCACUGAGGAUGCCUUUGCCAAUGCCACCCACAAAUAAAAAAACUCGUUUUAUCCAUUGGUGAAACGAAAACCUCAGAUUCUGGUUCUGCCAUUUCGUCGAACACCUUGAGCGCACCUGCAUGGAUAAGUUCUUCCAACUUCAUAAGAUCCAUGGAUGUCUAAACUUCAUACUCCAUCACAGUCGAAUACAAAUUCUCCAUUCCUGAUCAUCAUACUCAAUUGAUUACAUGAAUCGAAUGUAAAUAAAAUAAGAGGAAAAAACGAUGGGAGGAAACUAAGAAACUACCAGAUUCUAAUCUGAACCAACCACCAAACGCUGGACUUGAUUCUUCUCCGCGUUUUGAUUGAUCAGUAACGUUUGUUUGGUUGGUAAGCCCAUAUGAACUCUGCCCAAAAUUAGGGCUCCAGGUUUUUUUUUUUCUUCCCCCAAUUUCAGAGAAAAUGCAUUGGCUCUAUCAAAAUUAGAUUUAUUCAAAUUAGUUAUUAA